Coccinella septempunctata (seven-spotted ladybird) is the source of this 455-nucleotide long non-coding RNA. RefSeq lists it as uncharacterized. The transcript has 2 exons. Lineage: Eukaryota; Metazoa; Arthropoda; Insecta; Coleoptera; Coccinellidae. The record is from RefSeq and is a predicted model, not a curated record.
GAUUUUGACAAUGUAGAAAUACUUGAUUAUGAAAGUAAUUGGAAGAAAAGAAACAUUAGCGAGAUGAUUCAUAUUAGAUUAAAUAACACGGUAAACCACAGAACUGACACCCAAGAUUUGAGUCAAUUAUACACAAAUUUAUUGUUUCUUUGUCGUGAUUCCCGUAUUCCGAUAUGAAAAUUAUUCAUAUGUCUAUAGUGUCUGCGCGUAAUAACACCUGUUCUCGAUUGUUUAAUCAAUUAAUUUCGAUGGUAGUUGUAGCUGUUUUUCCAUGUUUGGGAUGAAAUUUGACAAAGCUUGGAUGCAAUUUUUCCGAAUCUUAAUGUUAACAACAACUUUUAUAUCAGACAAAUUGAACUUGCCUUGAAAAAGUUCGAAUAUACGGACGAAACGUCGGCAUUUAGUUCAGCAGUCUUGUUCUUCACUACCUGUCCUAAUUCCUAUUAAAGUACUCA